Molecule: ribosomal RNA, 253 nt
Filed under: uncultured bacterium
Lineage: Bacteria
Description: partial 16S ribosomal RNA
Rfam family: Bacterial small subunit ribosomal RNA
Source: RNAcentral
UACGAAGGGGGCUAGCGUUGCUCGGAAUUACUGGGCGUAGAGCGCGCGUAGGCGGACCUGCAAGUCGGGGGUGAAAGCCCGAGGCUCAACCUCGGAACUGCCUUCGAUACUGCGGGUCUCGAGUCCGGGAGAGGUGAGUGGAAUUCCUAGUGUAGAGGUGAAAUUCGUAGAUAUUAGGAAGAACACCAGUGGCGAAGGCGGCUCACUGGCCCGGUACUGACGCUGAGGCGCGAAAGCGUGGGGAGCAAACAGG